AUGGGGGAACCCGCCGGCCGUCAUGGGCCGGCACCGCGUUCGCGCGGGGGGUACGCAGGGAAGUGAAACAUCUCAGUACCUGCAGGAAAGGAUGUUCCGUGAGUAGUGGCGAGCGAAAGCGGAUCAGGCCAAACCGCGCGCGUGUGACAGGCGCCAGCCGUUGCGCGCGUGGUGUUGAGGGAGCGUGUGUCCGGGUCCUGGCGGGCCCGGCCGGAGUGAUAAAACGGCGUGUGAGGCGAACCGGAUUGAAUGCCGGGCCGCAGAGGGUGAUGGCCCCGUAGCCGAACGCGCGUCGUCUCCGGAUCGUGUCUCCCAAGUAGCGCGGGACUCGUGGAAUCCCGUGUGAAUCCGCCCCGACCGUGGGGUAAGCCUAGAUAUACCUGUCUGACCGAUAGCGAACUAGUACCGUGAGGGAAAGGUGAAAAGCACCCCGGGAGGGGAGUGAAACAGUCUCUGAAACCGUGCGCUUACAAACCGUCGGAGCCUUUCGGGGUGACGGCGUGCCUAUCGAAAAAUGAGUCUGCGAGUCAGUGGCGGGUGGCGAGCAUAAGCCGUGUGGCGUAUGCGUAGCGAAAGCGAGUCUUAAAAGGCGUUUUUAGUCGCUUGUCCUGGACCCGAAGCGGGAUGAUCUAGCCCUGGGCAGGUUGAAGCGCGGGUAAGACCGCGUGGAGGACCGAACCCACCUGGGUUGAAAACCGGGGGGAUGACUUGGGGUUAGGGGUGAAAGGCCAAUCAAAUUCCGUGAUAGCUGGUUCUCUCCGAAAUGCAUUUAGGUGCAGCGUCGGUCGAUUGCGUCGCGGGGGUAGAGCUACCGGAUGCUUGCGGGCCCUUGUUGGGUACCAACAGCAGCCGAACUCCGAAUACCGUUGACGUGUAUUCCGGCAGUGAGUCGGCGGGGGAUAAGCUCCGUCGUCGAGAGGGAGACAGCCCAGACCGUCGUCUAAGGUCCCGAAGCGUGUGCUAAGUGGGAAAGGAUGUGGAGUCGCAUAGACAGCCAGGAGGUUGGCUCAGAAGCAGCCACCCUUGAAAGAGUGCGUAACAGCUCACUGGUCUAGUGGUUCCGCGCCGACAAUGUAGCGGGGCUCAAGCACACCACCGAAGACGCGGCAGCAAUCUUCAUGGUUGCUGGGUAGGAGAGCGUCCUGCGAGGGGCGAAGCGGCGGUGGAAACCGGCCGUGGACUUCGUGGGAGUGAGAAUGCAGACAUGAGUAGCGAGAGACGGGUGAGGAUCCCGUCCGCUGGAUGACCAAGGGUUCCGGGGCCACGUUCGUCGUCCCCGGGUGAGUCGGGUCCUAAGGCGAGGCCGACAGGCGUAGUCGAAUGGAUGAACGGGUGGAUAUUCCCGUACCGACCAUGGACCGGCAAAACCGAGACGGUGAGUACUAACCUCCGCCUCGUGGUGGUUCCUUCCUUCGGGUUGGUUCCGCCGCGUGGUGUUGGGACCGUAGCCGUAGUAGGUCAGCGCAGGGGUGACACGGAAUGGGAGCCGGCCGCGGAGGUGGUUUUCCGUGGUCAAGCACGCAGCCAGUCAUGUAGGCAAAUCCGCAUGGCGCGCAUGGCGAGGUGCGAUGAUGGGAGCCGUUAUGGCUCGAUAUCCGGUUGUCCAGGCCGUCGAGAAAAGCCUCGGCGUGAGGGCCAUGGCCGCCCGUACCCCAAACCGACACUGGUGGUCAGGUAGAGAAUACCAAGGCGAUCGAGCGAAUCCUGGUCAAGGAACUCGGCAAAUCACUCCCGUGCCUUCGGUAUAAGGGAGACCCGCUGGGGUGAACCGGCUAGCCCGGGGAGCUUUGGUGGGUGGCACAGACCAGGGGGUAGCGACUGUUUACCAAAAACACAGGUGCAUGCGAAGGCGAAAGCCGCUGUAUAUGCACUGACGCCUGCCCGGUGCCGGAAGGUUAAGAGGAGAGCUUAGCGCAAGCGAAGGUUUGAAUUGAAGCCCCGGUAAACGGCGGCCGUAACUAUAACGGUCCUAAGGUAGCGAAAUUCCUUGUCAGGUAAG
This 1999-nucleotide ribosomal RNA is filed under the name human gut metagenome. RNAcentral describes it as "bacterial LSU rRNA". It matches the Rfam family "Bacterial large subunit ribosomal RNA", at positions 117 to 1980 of the family's 2925-position model. The record is from RNAcentral.